This 320-nucleotide unclassified non-coding RNA is filed under the name plant metagenome. RNAcentral's name for it is "partial contains 5.8S ribosomal RNA, internal transcribed spacer 2, and large subunit ribosomal RNA". The stretch from base 1 to 105 matches the Rfam family "5.8S ribosomal RNA", at positions 50 to 154 of the family's 154-position model. The record is from RNAcentral.
GAAAUGCGAUAAUUAAUGUGAAUUGCAGAAUUCAGUGAAUCAUCGAGUCUUUGAACGCACAUUGCACCCCCUGGUAUUCCGGGGGGUAUGCCUGUCCGAGCGUCAUUGCUGCCCUCAAGCCCGGCUUGUGUGUUGGGUCCUCGUCCCCCCCCGGGGGACGGGCCCGAAAGGCAGCGGCGGCACCGCGUCCGGUCCUCGAGCGUAUGGGGCUUUGUCACACCGCUCUCGUAGGCCCGGCCGGCGCUGGCCGACGCUGAAAAGCAACCAUUAUUUCUCCAGGUUGACCUCGGAUCAGGUAGGGAUACCCGCUGAACUUAAGC